UUACGGUCAAAUCACGCUAAAAACACCGGUUCUCGUUCGAUCACCGAAGUUAAGCAUCGUAGAGCCAGGUCAGUACUUAGAUGGCGGACCGCUUGGGAACACCUGGUACUGUAAG
RNAcentral lists this ribosomal RNA (115 nucleotides) under Acanthosepion pharaonis. Lineage: Eukaryota; Metazoa; Mollusca; Cephalopoda; Sepiida; Sepiidae. The record is from RNAcentral.